Molecule: non-coding RNA, 76 nt
Organism: Pelobates cultripes (western spadefoot toad)
Lineage: Eukaryota; Metazoa; Chordata; Amphibia; Anura; Pelobatidae
Source: the annotation of a GenBank genome assembly
UCCAUUUGGGCCAUACAGAGAAUAUUCCCCCACACAGGCCGUUGUGGGGGAAUAUUCUCUGUAUGGACCAAAUGGA